Felis catus (domestic cat) is the source of this 1242-nucleotide long non-coding RNA. RefSeq lists it as uncharacterized. The transcript is spliced from 2 exons. NCBI's taxonomy places the organism in Eukaryota, Metazoa, Chordata, Mammalia, Carnivora, Felidae. The record is from RefSeq and is a predicted model, not a curated record.
UUUUUUAUGGCUGAGUAAUAGUCCUUUGUAUAUACAUAGUACAUCUUCUUUAUUUGUUCAUCUAUCGAUGGACGCCUGGGUUGCUUCCACAUGUGGGCUACUGUGAAUAAUGCUGCCAUAAACAUCGGCGCGGAUAUACCUUUUCAGCGAGGCUUCCAGAAGCACGCCUGACGGACAGAUUGCUGUUGGAGCUUCCGGAACAGGCUGAACUAGAACCUCCUGUUCACAACAGUGUGGUUUUGUCCCCCUUUGCUUUUUCUCAGAGACUGACCUCCCGAGUUCGAUCUGUCUCUGGGCUUACACGGCCUUGUAGUCGGUGCCCUCAAAUUACUGGCCGACUUGUAUUUUCUUUUGUCUUUUUCCUAUCUGGCUCCAUCCAGCACCAUUCCGGCUCUAGUAAUGAACAGUCUUGCGUUCCGCUUCCUGAGUAUCUGUCCUGAGGAAAAGCCACCGUAAGGCGGUUUUUUAGCUAAUUUAGUCGUGUUUAUCAUACACUGUUAGAUGUUUAGAAGGUGGGGUUGAGUUUUGUACAGACAGUGCAGCUCAAUCAUUCCUUCAACAACUGUUUGACUACCUACCGUGUGCCAGAGAAGCUUCCGAAUUCCAAAUGCCACAGUGUGUUUUGGAUGGGGUUUUUUGGGGGGGGUCUCCCCAAAAUUCAUGUGAAAGCCUUACUGAAGUUUACACGGGACCCUCAGCAUGGCUGUAUUUGGAGUAAGGAAGUCAAUCGGGUUAAAUGAGGUCACGGGGAUGGGGCCCCGAUGCAGUGGGAUUAGUGUCCUCACCGGAAGGGAGCUCACCCCCCUCGCCCUUCUCCGUGGGGACACGAUGAGAAGGCGACGUCCGCAAACCGAGAAGAGAGCUCUUACCAGAAGCUGAAUCAGCUGGCCCCUCGACCUUGGACUUCUCAACCUCCAGAACUGAGGAGAUAAAUCUCUGUUGUUCAAGCGCCCAGUGGUGUUUUGUUUUGGCAGAUCGGCACAACAAGACCCCUCCCCCCCACCCCUCGCCAGACACCCUUUGCAGUUCAAGUGUUUUAUCGAAGCAGUUAGGUUAGCUGCUCAGGACAGCCUUGGCCUUGGAGGUGAUGCCACAGGUCUUAGAUUCAGAAAUUCAAUUUUCAAGUAUGUCAAUUCAGUUUUAACAAUAUAGCCAAGGACUAGUAAGAAUAGGAAAAAGCAGUCUGUUCCAAGCAACUCAAAGGUUGUUUAUAAGCCAGAAAUACAAUAAGUUCAUUGACAA